Kogia breviceps (pygmy sperm whale) is the source of this 2314-nucleotide non-coding RNA. The record is from RefSeq and is a predicted model, not a curated record. NCBI's taxonomy places the organism in Eukaryota, Metazoa, Chordata, Mammalia, Artiodactyla, Physeteridae.
UAUCACUGUCUCUCAUCUUCAGACUUUAAAAGGACUAAGGCAUGCUCUUUCAUAAAGAGUUGAGGACAGUUCUGAGAAGGUCGAGUUCCAAUCCAGUGAAGCAAGACUGAGGUGUUUGCAUUGGAGAGAAUGAGGAGAAUCUCGGAAAAUGAAAUAAACAGAGCGCAUGAGUGGAACUGAAGAGCAGCCUUGGGAACCGCAGCUCAGCCUUGCCAUCAACUGAGCUGUCUUCUCAGGAAGGCCUCCCCUGACCGUCUUCUCUGAAAGGUCAACUCUCCGCAACCCCCGCCUCAGACAGCAAGAAGCCCUUCUUGGUGCCAGUCACUGCGCUGACACUGGAGUUGCAGAGACAGAUGAGACACAUCUCUGUGCUCAAGGUGUUCCUGUGGCUUGUCCUUUUAAGGUCACUGUAGUCCUGACUCUUGCUCUACUCCCCAGAGAGAGAAACCUCCAAAGACAGAAUCUUGAAAUGAAAAGUGUACAAUGUGAAAAGUGGCCCAAACACUCAGUGGUGAUCAAGACACUAUUGACGCUGAUGGUGGUGAAAUCCUUCCUUCAAGUUUGUACUCUUGCUUUUCCUCUUUGUACCAUGUUUUUACUUGUCCACCCCUCACUCUCUUCUCUUUGCCAACAUCCCAGUGGAGUGGUGCCAGGUAGCCUAAGGAUAUGACAAUGAUUUACAGGCAAUGCUGUGCCUUGAAAAUGCCAGUGAAGCCCGUUGAACGCUGCUGAGCGGGAGCCCCCUCCUCUCACCCACAUAAACAAGCCGGCCCUAGGGGCCUCAGUCAGUCCCAGACUUCUUGGCUCCUGCUGGGCAACCGGGGCUGUGACUCGCUGGCUCAGCCACUUAAGUACCAUCCAAAUAGUAUGAGAAGGGUGAGGCCCGGCCCGUGUCAUGGACCUGACCCUCUGCAGAAUGCUGGGUCCUGGCCAAUUAGUCCAGAACCAGGAAACUCAGUGCACACACAUCAUUACUUCAAACAACCUUCGUUAAUAAGCAAAAAGCCAAUCAUUGGUUUGAUUCAAUAAGUUAGAGUACCAAUGAAUGUUUUAAAGUAAAAUGGUUUUUAAAGAUAUUGAAGAAAAAAACCACACUCCGGAUUCAUUUUAAUGGAGCAAAGCUCGCUCACAAAGCUACAUUGAGAAUUCAGAGCAGGGGGCUUUGGGGAAGGGAGGGUGAAGCUAAAGAGGACCCUUGUCCAAGAGAAAAGAGGGGGAAUUGAGAACAGUGGGCCGGGGUGGGCGGAAUAUUAGCUCUGCAACUAUGAAGGAACCCACUCUCUUCCCUGGAGUGCUUAAGCCCACAAGACGCCCUGAGCAAUGGCAAAGGACCAUGUGUGGCUAUCUGACCCUAUUUAGAGGUGCUUGGAUUAUUUACUUCAUUGUGAUUUAAUCUCACCUUUUUCUACCACAUCUCCCCUCCCAACUCCUGCAUUGAACUAGUGGCUGCUCAGGAUGAGCAAUGAACUGAGGCAGAGACUUGGGUGCCAGUCCUGCCAGGAAGCUGAUCUGACUAUAUGUGGCUCCUCGACCUUGUUUGUGAUCAAAGUACCACUCACCCAAUAAACCCAGAACACAGCCUCUCUGCCGAGCAAGGUAGUGGGAAGCCAUCACUUCCCUCUGAGGGCAUAUGAGCAAAUGGGGCUGAGAGUCCACCUAAAUGUCUACAUGAACAGAACAACUCUGCAAACAGAUCGGCAUCGCUGAAUUUCCGAAACAGGAGAAAGUGCGAGCAUCUCCAGUCUCUGUGAAUUGUGGUGCAGAUUCUUCUAGGAGUAACAGCUCCAUGGCAUCAUGGAAUCUGGAAUCUAAAUAUUUGCUUUAGGAGAUUAGAGGAAGGCUGUUAAAUCAUAAACGAUGUCCUGAUUUUGUGCUCCCACAUACAGGUCAUUCUUUACAUUUAUUGAAAUGGGAGAAAGGGUUAUGUCUCUAUCACUCUUUAUUCCUUAAAAUAAAGCCUUCCCUUUCUUUGAGGCUAUUCAUUAAUUUUCAUAAUUUGGUAUCUGGAUUUUAUAGAAUACUUCACAAUUUAACACCUCUUUUGCUCCCUUCUCAUAACAGCCCUGGUCAUCACUUUCAUAAUCAUAUUUUCUUACAACUAUAUAUUGCUCUUCAUGGUUCAUAAAACACAUAUUCAUGAUCUCAUGAACCCCCCAGAAGCCCCAGGAGGCCGAUAAAGCAGUUGCUAUCAUACACAUUUUACAGGCGAGAAAACUGCCAGCUAAAGAAGUUAAAUCAUUUGCUCCAGGCUGCUAAGCUCAAUGGUUGAGUUAGGAAUUGAACCCAACCGUCUCAGUGCUUAACUUAAUUUAGA